AGCAGCUUGCUGCUUUGCUGACGAGUGGCGGACGGGUGAGUAAUGUCUGGGAAACUGCCUGAUGGAGGGGGAUAACUACUGGAAACGGUAGCUAAUACCGCAUAACGUCGCAAGACCAAAGAGGGGGACCUUCGGGCCUCUUGCCAUCGGAUGUGCCCAGAUGGGAUUAGCUAGUAGGCGGGGUAACGGCUCACCUAGGCGACGAUCCCUAGCUGGUCUGAGAGGAUGACCAGCCACACUGGAACUGAGACACGGUCCAGACUCCUACGGGAGGCAGCAGUGGGGAAUAUUGCACAAUGGGCGCAAGCCUGAUGCAGCCAUGCCGCGUGUAUGAAGAAGGCCUUCGGGUUGUAAAGUACUUUCAGCGGGGAGGAAGGCGAUAAGGUUAAUAACCUUGUCGAUUGACGUUACCCGCAGAAGAAGCACCGGCUAACUCCGUGCCAGCAGCCGCGGUAAUACGGAGGGUGCAAGCGUUAAUCGGAAUUACUUGGGCGUAAAGCGCACGCAGGCGGUCUGUCAAGUCGGAUGUGAAAUCCCCGGGCUCAACCCUGGGAACUGCAUUCGAAACUGCCAGGCUAGAGUCUUGUAGAGGGGGGUAGAAUU
Molecule: ribosomal RNA, 603 nt
Filed under: uncultured Enterobacteriaceae bacterium
Lineage: Bacteria; Pseudomonadati; Pseudomonadota; Gammaproteobacteria; Enterobacterales; Enterobacteriaceae
Description: SSU rRNA
Rfam family: Bacterial small subunit ribosomal RNA
Source: RNAcentral